RNAcentral lists this unclassified non-coding RNA (6659 nucleotides) under Haliotis rufescens (red abalone). RNAcentral describes it as "cytospin-A-like, transcript variant X1". The record is from RNAcentral. Lineage: Eukaryota; Metazoa; Mollusca; Gastropoda; Lepetellida; Haliotidae.
CACAGCACUGUUCAACGCUACAGCCGAGCAGCUCUCAAGGAGUCAGGAAACGUUUAUGAGGAGCUAACUACACGAGUGUGCAAGACAGUAGCAACACGGUGCCAGGAGGCGGUGUGGGGUGUCAGACCGAGCAGCCUGCCAGUAUAAGACCCUUCAUCCACACUUCCCCCACAGUUCUCUGAAGCCUGGCGACCAGUCUACAUCAGUGGUUACUACAGCAAAGGCCCUGUAGUGGUGGAGUACUGCUUGUCACACAUGAUGGAUCUAUUCCUGUGGAUUGUGCACUGAUUUAUUCUGUGUUUUUCUCAUUCUACUUCUGUGAUUGUCUAAAUACGAUGUUUUAAAGAAUUUCUUCAAAUCUGGAUUUAUAUUCAUCACUGAAGCUCUCAACACUGACUGUCAGAUGACAGCCAAUAUCUGGACUUAUUCAACAAGAUUAUAGAGUACACCUGUUUUUUAAUUUGAAUUUAUUCUCAAACCAACAUCAACAGUCUUUAUUCUAUCAUAAAUCAUUUUUUGUAAUUUGGUGUUUGCUGACUUGACAACGUGGGCAAACAGAGUUUCAACAGCUCAUCCAAAACAAGCUGAAGUGUUUCUCAUUUGAAUCCUGUUUUUUCAAUCAAGACGAUAUUUGUAACCAGGAAUCUGUUUUUUCUCCGUACUUUCUUGCAUUGAGUUAACAUCCUUGAACAACAUGGCUCAGAGAUUCAUUCAGGUUGUGAUUCUAUUUAUCAACAUGGGAGUGUUUGCCACAUUUCUACCACAAAAAGAUGUGCAUGUCGCUGAAGAAACCUGUGUCAUGAGCUUUGUAAUUCCCAGAGAAAAAGUGAAAAAUUCAUGCCAAUUAGAUGAAAGGGUGAAACAACGAAUGAAUCGGAUGGAAACUAAGUUAAACAUGUACAGACGAGAGGUGAGCCAACUUCAAGGUCGUCUUCAGAAGGAAAGACAACUCUGUCAUGACCGACUUCAGGCCCUUGAGGCCAAAAUGGCCACCUUCGAUCCAACGACCUAUCACACGUUGGCGAAGAAGUUAGAAAAUCUGGAAAUAGUUCUUAAGAAGGGAAGCGACACCUUGGAGCCAGUUGAUAGGAGAUAUUCCAAUGGUGCCCUUAACAAAGGCAAGGGUUUUAAGACAAAUCAAUUAUAUGACAACGAAAAUCUGGAAAGUCUUGUCAAGCCAAUUGUCAUAUCCGAAAUUGAAAACUACUUGGAGAACUUCACAAGGAAGUGUGAGGGUACAGAAAAAACUAAAGAUAUUGAGAACAAUGAAAUCGUGUUAGAUAUGUUGCCUCGAAACGAUCAGUCAUAUGCCGACAAUGAAGACAUGAACGGAAACACAAGCAGAACUCAUGACAUGAUCAAUGAAAUAGAAAACCUCCAAAACAAACUAAACCAGACGGGAGAAGCGCUGGCUUCAGCAGUUGGGAAAAUACUCAAAAACGUAACGAUAAAAGGCAACAGUGUUGUUUAUCGCGACAAUGUCACACAAUCAUCAAACAGUUCCCAGAACUCAGACCCAACAAAACAAUCAAGGGAGAUAACCUACAAGAAGGAUAAAGCUUCCUCAAGGAUUUCAGGAAAUGACGGAGGGUCUGACAGUCAAAACGAUGCUCAACAUGAAAAUGAUAAUAUGUACGUCGCUAACGUGUACUCAGAUGAACUGGAGGAGCUACUCCGAUCCGAAAUCAACAACCUUCUGCAAUCUCGCAUGGAGGAGGUCAUCAGCCUCAUGAGAAAGCAAUCGUUGAAACUUGUGACAGCCGUUGACCAGCAAGGUAAAGACAUCGAUAAAAUAGAGGAAGGACAAGAGGAAAAGAUGAAACGGAUGCAGGACAGAGUUGACGGAAUCAAACUCGAGCUAUCAUCCAUCUCACAGGCAGUUCAAGAAUUUUAUGCCAAAAUGGAAAAAAUGCAGAGUUUGCAAGUUAUUGUGGAAGAAAUUAAGAAAAACAUGAGUUCUAUGUCAGCUUCGCAAAAUCAAGACAUGGUGAGCAGAGUCGACGAGCAUGGAAAGAAGUUGCGCACACUUGAUCGGUUGCGAGGUAUCUUCCAACAGUCCCUGCAGCAUUACCGAAAUGAGAGCAAGAUGGCGUACACAGACAUGCAGCAUAAACUUGCAGGCCUCGAGGUCAACCUGGCUCGCGAAUUGUCCUCAGAGUUGUAUUCGAACAUCACCUCUCAGUUCAACUGGCAAUUUGAUCGUUUUAACAAUACACUGAAAAGCAAGUCAAAUUCCAUGGAGACUGCAGUUCGUAACCUCGAAGAUAAUUCGGUUCUUCUUCAAAUGGAUAUCAAGAACUUAGAGAGGCGGCAUAAGUCCAAAACAGGAAAGCUGGAGGAGGAUUAUGGGAACUUGAAAAAUCGUGUAGAGAGAGUUCAGAACCAGAACCGGAAAUUGAUUGAAAGUGUCAGUAACAUGAAGAGUGAUCAAAGGACGCUCCAAACCCGGUUGAACUCAUCAUCGUCAACACUGGCCAGUUUAGAAAUUGAAUUCCGGCUCAGUGUGACCGACACGUGGGUCGAGUAUGACUUUGAAUAUGACACGUCACGUACAGCAUGUUUUGGGAAGCAAUAUAUCCGGAAGACAAGGUACAAAAAUGGACGUCUGGCAGGUGUGGUGUUGUGUACCAAUAAUCGCUAUAAAAUCUUGUUAGCUAAUUGUGUGACUGAAAAGUUUUUAAAUGUCGGCGACAUUAGCGGUUUUGGAGAGGAUCACUGUGAAUUUGUUGGGACCACAAAAUCCUCCAUCAUUCGCCUCAGUCCUCCUGCCAUAUCAGCGAAAACAGAAGAAGGAUUUGCCCGAGACAGCUGGGGUCAGGAGCCACGCAAGAUGCACCUCAAUUUUCUGCGUCCCUCGCCUGCGUGGUACGAGUGUGGGGUGCAGAUCCCCUAGAAGACGCUACACGACACUAUCUUCCAUCUUCUACUAGCAACCGCUAAAUGAGACGCCAUUUUAUAUCAUCUCCUAGCAACCAUUACACAACACCCAGCUUCCAUCAUCCCUAGCAACCACUACAUGACACCAUUUAAUAUGCCCUAGCAACCACUACAUGACACCAUCUAAUAUCCCCCAGGCAACUAUGACAUGACAUCUUCCAUCAUCUCCCAGCAACCACUACAUGACACCAUCUAAUAUCCCCUAGCAACUAUUACACGACAUCUUCCAUCAUCGCCUAGCAACCACUACAUGACACCAUCUAAUAUCCUCUAGCAACCACUACAUGACACCAUCUAAUAUCCCCUAGCAACUAUUACAUGACAUCUUCCAUCAUCGCCUAGCAACCACUACAUGACACCAUCUAAUAUCCCCUAGCAUCCACUACAUGACACUAUCUAAUAUCCCCUAGCAACCACUACAUGACACCAUCUAAUAUCCCCUAGCAACCACUACACAACACCAUCUAAUAUCCCCUAGCAACCACUACACAACACCAUCUUCCAUUUUGUCAAAGUCAUCUGGAUGGCCCCCAGAGAUGGGUCCUGUUUCUUGGACAAGCCAGCCACUGGUCAGAUGCCACUGUCUGCUGACUGUGUGUUAUGUGACCGAACUAUGAGGAACAGAUAAGGAGGAAACUGACAAUGGGAUCUGUACAUACUUCAACAGAAUAUUCUCAUCAUAUAUCUUAAUACUGUGCCUUACACUGCACAGCAAGUGUUAAAGGGUUAACCUAUAACCCAGACUGUGCCUUUCACUGUGCAGGGAGUGUUGAAGGGUUAACUUAGAAGCCAGACUGUGCCUUUCAGUGCAGAGAGUGUAAAAGGAAUAACUGAUAACCCAGACAAUGCCUUACAGUGCUGCAAGUGUUAAAGGGUUAACUUAUAAAAAAGACAGUGCCUUACAGUGCAGCAAGUGUUAAAGGUAAAUGACCAGGAUAUCACCAGUACCUCAUGGGCAGUUGGUACAAGAACACCUUGUUUAUCAAGAUGGUCACACGGAGUCGUAUUGUACGACACAAGGAAAAAGAAGGAGCAGUGGAAAGAGAUGUCAAUUUACUAGUGCCACAGAACACUUACAGAACAUGUCAUUAGAUAAUCGAUUUCAGUAUAUGUAUUGCAAUAUUAGUAUGUCACUUCAUUUACAAAAAUAAAUGUUUUGUUUGAUAUGCAUUACUUAGAAGUUGAAGGAUGACAAAGUAGACACAGUUUAUGGAUAACAACUUCUUUAAUAACUGUGAAGACGAUGUUUCGGUAGAGAUCCUUAUACCGUUGUCAAGCAAGACUGAAUGAUGAUGUUGUUGCAUUAAGUGUUUAAGAGGUCGCCUUCUGCCUAAGCAAUUUCGGCUGACCUGUCCCUCUUUGGGACUCCUGAGUGUGAGUAGGGGACACAUAUCUACACAUACUGUUAUAAGUAUGUUCAUUAUAAACUUAGUUUACUGUAUGUUUUUACAUAAGACAUUUUUAUUUCUAGGACUAAAUGUUAGUUGACCAAAAGACCAACAGUACCACAAGUAUUCAUAUAGUGAACAUUGAAAAUGCAUAGAACAAGGAUGGGUUUACAUUCGAUUGAAGUAUUUCAUCAUAGUUUUAUAUCAGCAUCUUAGCCCCAAUUUAGUAGGACAUGUGCGCCUACUCAAGCUCUCCUGGCAAUUCAAAUAAUCAAGGCACAGAACUUCAAUAGUGUGAGCUAUAUAUAUAAAAUACUAGGCCAAGGGUACUUCAAUCAUAGCUAGUACUAAGCUCAACCCAACCAUGUUAUACUGCCCUUGGUACACCAUAAACUAGGAAAGGGGUUAAAAAUCCUAAACACUUGUUUUUGCCAAAACCUGACAAAUUAGCACCAAUACAUGUGCUAAUCAUGAGAAGCUAACUACCUAAAGAAACUUACAACUCAAAAACUAUUCCGGUCAUGUUUCCAUGUUAUUAAUGUUGGCGCUUUAGGCAUAAGCUGAGUUGAAGAGAAUGCACUGCAGUGUCUGUCCUUGACAACUGAAAGUAGGUCUCGAAAUCUACCAGCUUAGCUUUGCAGACAUUGAAGUACUUUAAACCAGCUUAAAACAUCAUUAUAGCGAAUGUAAACAACACGAUUACAGCUGGAGAAAUGGUUACACACUGAUGAAGGCGUCAUUGCCUUGUGUAGUUCUCAUUGGCUGUUCGAGAGUGGAGUCGGGAGAUAAAACCCCCUAAGUUUUGUAAUGGAGUUUCUUGAUAAUAGUCGGCAUAAAACAUAUAUAUUUCUUGUUGUGGAAAUCUAGUUUUGUUGUGAUUGAAAUAAAAAAUUUAAUGAUUAUUUAAUGAUACUUAAUGAUAUUACAGUAUAUGUCUGUAAAAGAACAAAAGUUUACUGAAAUUCUUAACAAACAUAAACAUUAUUUUCACUGCAGUACUGCUGAUUUUUAAUUUCCUUCUUAAUUAUAAUUAGUUGGACAAAUUCAUUAAGUCAACUCUCAUCUUAAAUCCUUUUCAAUGGAACUAAAUUUAUUCAUUAGAAGUUUGUUGUUUGCCGACUGCCCUCCAUAAGAGUGAGUGCGUAUGGUUUUACGCCGCUUUUAGCAAUAUUCCAGCAAUAUCACGGCGGGGGACACCAGAAAUGGGCUCCACAUAUUGUACCCGUCAGGAAUCAAACCCGGGUCUUCGGCGUGACGAGCGAUCGCUUUAACCGCUAGGCUACCCGACCGCCCCUCCCUCGAUAAGACGUGAUGUCAUCAUGAAAUAGUAAUGGUUAAAAUGGCCUACUGACAGAACACUGGAUUCCUAGUUAGGUCUUUUUAACUAAACUUCCACUGGAGAACUGAGAUGUUCGCUUCAGUAUCACACAAUGUGUAAUACAGCUGUAUGUUUGUUAAACGGGUGAACUCUUCACGGGCGAGCAAUAAAAUGCCAAAACAACACCCUUGAUAAAUGAGGAUGGUAUUUAACAUUUGAUCCAAUACAACUAAUAGUCAGUACCGUUCACUUGGAACUCUAUUGUGGGUAAAUAUUCUAUUGUCUAGGGCUGGGAUGAGUCCAAAUUUACUACCCGGGUACCCGCUGUUGGUCUCAAGUUGGGUAUAAAAUGUUCAGUUGGGAAUUGUUUUACCAGAACCCUGGCAAAAAGUAUUUAGAUAUAGUAUAAUACGAUCUGAUCAUGUAUACACUGAAGUUGACUGAAGCUUUGUCUUUACUCAAACAUAAAAAUUCAGAAAUAGUCAGAAACAAAUGGAAACAUUAGCAACUUGUACUUGUGUAACCAUGGAAUUUUAUUAUUAUUGUUAUUAAACAAUAUAUCACAUGACUAACCACGGGUCAGGUAGUCCUGUGGGUACCCGGGUCCUACUCAGGACCUACCCAACCCAAGUUCCCCAUCCCAGCCCUACCACUGUCAUGUUAGAAUUGAUGUUGAUAAAAAAAUGCAGAAUAUUAAAAGUGCCUUCAUGUUUUUAUAUAUACAUGUAUGUAAAUAUGUUUUACAAAAUAUUCAUAACGAUAUAAUAUGGUAUAUGUUAUAUGUCUGAAGUGGUAUCAAUAUAUGUUUUCAUUGUUUAUUUUGAUACGAAGGAGUGACUUUUCUACGUCACUCAAUGUGUCAUCACUUUGCAGCUGGGUAUUUAUUUAAGGUUUCUAUAUCUUUAGUCUGUGCUAUUGUUGUUUGACAUAUUGUUUGACAUGCCAUGUCAAACACUGCAAAGACUGUAAAUAGAUUGUGAUGAACUGUUUACUGCAAUAAAUGGCUUAACAUGAAA